Long non-coding RNA from Saccostrea echinata, 240 nucleotides. RefSeq lists it as uncharacterized. The transcript is spliced from 3 exons. The record is from RefSeq and is a predicted model, not a curated record. Lineage: Eukaryota; Metazoa; Mollusca; Bivalvia; Ostreida; Ostreidae.
CGGACAUUGUUACAUUGCGAGCCCAACUGCCAUGAAUUAAUAUUGGAUGACUUCAGAGCUAAAUUGUAAGAGACUCGGUGCUUACAUGGUUACAAUAGACAAUGACGAGGAGAAUCAUUGGAUCAUGGAUGUUUUUGUGCCGUGGGAUACUGCUACCUGUUCGAUAUUGUGGAGAUGUUGUAAUACCUGGAUAGGGACAAUUGACAUAGAUCAAGAAGGUUUAUUUACCUGGACCCAACA